AUGAGCGCCGCGGAGCACAAGGAGAUCGCCGUCGUCGCCGCCAAGAGGCGGAGGGACGGCAAGGAGGAGGCGGCGGCGGCGGAGGAGGAGGUGGUGGAGCCGCUGUCGGCGCUGGCGGACGACGUGCUGCUGCAGAUCCUGGGACGCCUCGAGGGCGACCCGCGCGACUGGGCGCGCGCGUCCUGCGCGUCCCCGCGCCUCGCCGCGCUCCUCCGGGCCGCCUGCUUCCCUCCGCGCCUCUCCCGGGCGCUCCCCGCCGAGCUGCUCCCCGCGGACGGGGCGCCCGCCGCGUGGGCCGCGCUCCACAAGAUGUCCGUCUGCUGCCCCGGCCUCCUCCGCGCCGGGAUCCUCCUCGAGCCCUCCGACGACUUCGGCCUCGAGCUCGACAUCGGCCCCGACCUCACAGUCCCCGCCUCCUCGUCAUCCUCCUCCUCGUCCCUCGAGCCCACGGCCACCUCCUCGCUCCAGCCGCCCAGGACCGCAGAGCCUGAGCCCAAACCCAGCGAUGCACUGGCCGCCGCCGACGCCGCCGCGUGGUCCCUCUACGAUGACCUGUACCUGGACGCGGCCUACGACUGCUCCGAGACGCAGAUCGCCGCCGCGCCCGCGCCGGCGGCAACGGCAGAGGCAGAGGAGGAGGAGAAGCCACCGGCAGCCAAUACCGCCCGGCGCGGCGUGGUGUCGGGGACCCGCCGGCGGGCGCGGCGGUGGCUGGGGCCCGUGGGCGCGCACCUGGCGUCGGGGUCGUGGACGCUGAGCCGCGAGCAGGGCAACAAGCUGCUGGCCAGCCGGUUCCGCGGCGACCGGCUGUACAUCUGCGAGUGGCCCGGGUGCGUGCACGCGGAGGAGCGGCGCAAGUACAUGGUGUUCCGCGGCGUGUUCCAGGACUUCGCGCGCUCCCAGGUGCGGCGCGCGCUGCGGGACACGCGGCGCCCCACGGUCGCCGUGGACUGCGCCUUCUGCGGCUGCACGGAGGCGUGGGACCUCUACUCCGCCUUCUGCCUCCGGAGCUUCUACGGGUACCACGACGACGGCGAGCCCGUGGUGCGCGCCUACGUCUGCGAGAACGGCCACGUCGCCGGCGCCUGGACCGAGCGCCCGCUCUACGCCUGA
This 1113-nucleotide ribosomal RNA is filed under the name Triticum aestivum (bread wheat). RNAcentral's name for it is "partial small subunit ribosomal RNA". Lineage: Eukaryota; Viridiplantae; Streptophyta; Magnoliopsida; Poales; Poaceae. The record is from RNAcentral.